UAACGCAUUGGUUUGUUUUGUUUUGUUUGUUUGUUUAGUUGUUUUGCCCUUUUUUCAUUUGCUCCUCUCUCUCUCCCUCUCUCUCUCUCUCGAUACAAACCAGGAACACACUUUGCUGCUUCAUGAAUCGAUUAUCAAAAUCAAUUCCUAGAUUUCGUAUAAUCAAACUCGACGAGAGCAAACCAAUCGAUGUUCUGAUCGGAAAUUGCAGCCGAAUGCACUGUAGGAAUCGAUUUUGAGUUUUUUCCAUAUAACCCAGAAAGAGAAGAGACAAAUUUGCCGACGAAGGAAGCAGAGAAAGAUUUGCUUCUUUCUUUAUCUCAGGUACAUCUUUGUUAAUCCGUUGUUUGUGGAAUUGUGCGUUAACGGACGGAGAUUGGUUUUAUUUUUAAGGUGUUGAGAGAGAUACAAUCUUGGAUUAGCGAAAUUGUAAGUGAUUCUAAAGUUGGUUGAUUAGUGAAGUUCAACAGGAAGAGGAAGAAGAGACUGCUGAUCAUGAGGAUGGAACUGCUUUAUGCUUGGAAAGAGUUGUAACUGAUCUUGUAAGUUCCUCAUAUUUGGUUUCUUUUGGGGAAGGAUGGAACUUUUGGAAGCACUGAAAACUGUGAGGAAUCAACAGUAUGCCUUGGGAGCUUUGUUCAGUUUCUCUGUUCCGUGGUUCAGCAGGUUCCCUUUGCCGAAGAUUCUGAUGGUUUUGAACAUGCACAUUUGAUCAUCCAAAAAACCAUCGAGCUUGUUCCGUAUCUCCUUCGUUGGUGCCAAUCUGUGUUUAAAAAAGCGUCGCCUAGGCGCGCCUGGGCGAGAGGCGAGGUGAUUAUAAGGGUGUAGCGCCUCUAGUAGACGAGGCCAGGCGGUAGACCAAAGGCGCUCGCUUCGGGACGCCUUGCCAUGGAGCCCGCCUCAUCUCGCUUAGCGCCUGCAAUUGUAAUAGUUGCGCCUCAUACACCAAAGGCGUGGGGCGAAUCUCGCCUAGGCGCAGGGCGCCAAACCUACCCUCUGUCGCCUCACCUUGCCUCUCGCCAUUUAAAACACAGGUGCCAACCAAAGUUAGAAAGUCAAAGUGGCUCUUAAUGAAGUCCUCUUGCAAUUCUUGUCUCUUCCAUUUAUCAACCUUGUUCAAUCCUGUAGUCCUAUUUUGUAUAUUUCUUUCAGAGUUGCAUUGUGAUCAUCAAAUCUUUCUUGAUUACCUAAUAUUUAAAGACAUUGGGGCUAGCUGUGCAGAGUACCUGCUGAGAUGUUUGCGGACAGUCUGUGAUUCAUGGACCCUAUUUGUGGAAUUCCCAUUUGAAGAAAGUACAAAUGCUUCAUCGUCAAAGAGAAGAAAACUUUUGCUCAGACUUCUGGCGUUGAAAGUAACUGUAAACUACAAACUCAGGCUUUUGAAGAUGUCAAAGAUUGUCUGCUUUGUUGCAAAAUUCAGUUGUUAAGCUACAUCAGAAGAAACUAUUUUUGAUAACACAUUUUUUGGUUAAAUUAUAUAAGACACCCAUAUUUAAGGAUGA
Molecule: non-coding RNA, 1502 nt
Organism: Camelina sativa (false flax)
Lineage: Eukaryota; Viridiplantae; Streptophyta; Magnoliopsida; Brassicales; Brassicaceae
Source: RefSeq, a predicted model, not a curated record